CUGAAUGGGGCAACCCGGCACAGUGAAGCUGUGUCACCACGUAAGUGGAGUAAACCCGGUGAACUGAAACAUCUAAGUAACCGGAGGAAGAGAAAACAAUAGUGAUUCCGUUAGUAGUGGCGAGCGAACGCGGAUUAGCCCAAACCAGUGUUGUUACGGCAAUACUGGGGUUGUAGGACCACAAUAUUUGAUGCUAAUUGAAUUAGAACUGUUUGGAAAGACAGACCAAAGAGGGUGAUAGUCCCGUAUAAGUAAGAGCAGUUAUUGAUAGUGGUAUCCUGAGUAGUGCGGGACACGAGUAAUCCUGUAUGAAUCCACCGGGACCAUCCGGUAAGGCUAAAUACUCCUGAGAGACCGA
This 358-nucleotide ribosomal RNA is filed under the name uncultured bacterium. Its description in RNAcentral is "bacterial LSU rRNA". It matches the Rfam family "Bacterial large subunit ribosomal RNA", at positions 114 to 487 of the family's 2925-position model. The record is from RNAcentral.